Molecule: long non-coding RNA, 3106 nt
Filed under: Chinchilla lanigera (long-tailed chinchilla)
Lineage: Eukaryota; Metazoa; Chordata; Mammalia; Rodentia; Chinchillidae
Description: lncRNA (ENSCLAG00000025922.1)
Source: RNAcentral
AAGUACUAGUCAAGCAUUAACUGUGCUCCUCACGACUGUUCACAGACCUCACCGCAGUCUUACUCUCGACCUCCGAAUUUUGCCAGUCCGCUCCACGCUGCACGAUCCUAGCCCAGGUCAGGACAAAUGCAGUCUGCAGUCAGAGCCUGGCCCGGGCACAGCCCCAUUUGAGGAUGGCAGAGAAUGCAGGCUGCAGGGCCCUCCUCCUAACUGCAGGAACAAGGUCUAAAGACACACAGGGUGGCCUCUUCUUCCUUGACAGUAACUACAGGGUACUGAAGACUCCCUGCUGUGCUUUAGACCUCAACCAUCCCCCAAGUCUCAUGGGUAUGGAAAGUGAUUGGAUCAUGGGUGCGUGCCCAGCAGCAGAUCCACUCGUGGGUGAGUUCAUGACUGACUGCCGUUGGGGGGGCGGGCUGGUUGGUGCCUGCUGGGAUGUGACCUGGAAGGCUGUAGCCUUGUCCAGAGGUCCUCUCUUGUUUUUCUGCCUCCCGGCUACCGUAGGCCACCACUUUGUCCUCCACCACGACCUCUGUCUUCCCCUCCCUUCCUGGGAGCCAGCUGACUGUGGACUGAAGCCCAGGGAUAGCAAGGCCAUCCCAUGAUCCAUCAAUGUGUGGGAUGCUGGCUCCCUCUUUUUGACAGAACAAAGUAUUUCCAAGGACUCUUCUCAGGAGAAAUGUACAGUCUCAGGCAAGACACAGAAAAAAACAGACACCUGUGCAUUACUUUUGUGGCAAAGCACACUUUUGAUUUCUCUUUGUACCUUUUCAAAAGAGAGGUUUCUAACACUUCUUCUGUAAAACUCACUCUCCUCCAUCCUCUUGAUGCACAAAGAAACUGCCACUAAACACAAGACAGAAUUCCAGUGGGAGCCUCAUAGUCUUGGCUCACUGCAAGAAGAGUGAGUCACUUAGCACAAUCUCAAGAAGAGGAGAUAUAUGGCGGUGUGGUGGCCUCUUGUUCUUGGAGAUUGUCCACAUGGUUAAUGUUUCUGAGCUGAUGUUCCCGGUAAAUUUGAUUUAGUGACUUUAUGUAUGCUUCUCCACUAAAGUAUUACAUAUUUUAAAUCAACUGUCAGUAACCUUCACAGAGGGAAGUGCAUAAAUGGAAAAGAUUCAAUGAAAUGCUACAAUAUGUACAUCACUGCCCCAAAACAACUCCGUUUCACAAGGUGUUGGCUUUGUUUUGAAUGCAGAAAAAGAAAUUACCCUCAAUAAUCAUUUUAUGCAUUUGCCCCUUAAGUGCUUCUGACCAUGGAGAUAUAAAACAAGACUUGGCAAGCGGAAGAGAGCCUUCUCUGUUGACCUUUAAGUAAACAUUUCAUGUAUUAGAAGGCCAAGAUUGAAAUGUGCCCACCAGUUGCAACUGUACUCACUCUGAUUAAUGCAGAGACAGCUUCCUGAAUCUGUGAUGGUGUCAACGGGGAUGUGUCACUGGCCCACCUGCCACAUCUUCUCAGAGUGAUUUCUGGUAGCAGAGGCAUUCAGGGACCUUGCUCAGAGACUGCCGACCCCUCCAGGCCACUUUGUGUCUCAGGAAGUAUCCUUGGCACUGAAGCAGGAUGCAGGGCACCCUGCGUACCAGGCUUCCCACACGCCUGCCCCAGCACCUGUACCCUCCCUCCAGGUCAUAACAAUGACUCGCUGCUUGUUUAUGUAUCUGGAGAUUUUCUUAUUUUUGGUCCUAAACACAAAAUCUUAAAACUACUUCAGUUUGGCUGCAGAACUGCUCAUUUACUUAUUCAAUAAAUAUGUGUUAAACACCAACUACACACAAGGAACUCUGUGAUUGCUGAGGACGCCAUGGGGGGGCGGGCUGGAAGGAGAAGGCAGGAGUAGAAGGGGGAAUCCAGCAGCAGAAGGGAAGAUGAGUGGGUCCAAGGGUGCGAAGAUGGCCACAUGUGGGAAACCAUAUAAAAGUACGAGGCGCUCGCAAAGUAGGUGACUGGCUGAUGGCGUUAGCAGGAAGAGUGUAGUGAGUGGGGUUCGGGUGAGCACUGAGACUGAUGCUGAGCAGGGGAUGAAGGGCAUAGAUGCCAUGCCAAGGAACGUGCUCUUCCCGCUGCAAACAGCAGGAGGCUUCUGGGGGUUUUGUGCAGGGUGAGAGAGCAUGAGGUGGCCUUGGGGAGAAGCCACUAGAAGAUGGACGGCCUUAAGUUCCAUACCUCCUCUGUGCACAGAAGGAAUGACCUGGAGCAGGCACAGGGCUUCCAACAUAGUCAAGCAGCAUAGACUUUCAUUCCAAAUACAGCAAGAGUGGCAGUGCAGAGCGCACACUGGACAGAUCGAGGUAGAGACGUCAGAAACCAUGGCUGAUUUAAAAACAAAGGCAGGUUUAGACACUUUUUCCGAUUGAGAUAGGAAAGUUCUAAUGGGGGGCAUCAUUGCAGAUUACCAUACAGCUGCAUCUUCCCUUUUGGAAAGAACAUUGUUUUUUGACUUUUGUGAUCUCCAUAACUGCUGACAUCAGAAGUCAACUGAACUCAUGAUAACUGUUAUUCACCUGCUCAAAGGGUUACUACAAAGACUAAUGCCAAGCCUGGCAACUGCCUCUGCAGAUGGAGCUUGAGAGGUGGUAGAGUUGGCAGCAGGAACUCUGGGGCCGUAUGUCUGGAACAGCAGCCUCAGGAGGGAAGAAUGAACGAUCGUCUAAGCAAGAAACAGUGGUCCAAGCUGGGACCAAGACAAUGGCAAGAUGGGCAGAUUUGAAGAACAGAAAAGGCAGAGUUGCUGUCUUGAGGGAUCUGAGUGUUACAAGAUGAUAACAACAGUGAAGGUCUUGACACAGUGCCUGGGAUGAUGGUACAAGCAGAAUCCCAGAGAAAAGAUGACCACCAUUGUUCUGGACACCCAAGACCUGAAGUAUCCACUGAAAUUCCAAGUAGUGAGGUCCACCAGCCUCCUGGAAAUACAAGGCCCAAAAACAGCAGCACUAAAAGGAGGUGGCUGGUACCUGGAAUCACUGAAAAUCAUGAAGUUAUCUGGAGAAGUAUCUGACACUCAAUAAUUAGAGAUAUUUUAAAUUAAAGAUAAAAGUGCAACCUUAAAUACCUACUAAAAAAUCCUAUUAAGUUUUCUUACUAACUCCCACUAAUACAUUUUUC